CAGCAGGCCCAGUUGGUGUUCUGCCAUGCAGCUAACUUGGUGUGCAGAGUGAAUUGCCGCCGACGGAGCGGCCAGGAGAGUGGGGAUUUCUGUCAGCGCCAGUACCCCGGAGCUCGGAGACAUGAAUGGCUUCUCGCCUGAUGCGGUGAGCCGCAGUGGGGAGGCGGCAGC
RNAcentral lists this small RNA (171 nucleotides) under Pongo abelii (Sumatran orangutan). RNAcentral's name for it is "processed transcript". The record is from RNAcentral. Lineage: Eukaryota; Metazoa; Chordata; Mammalia; Primates; Hominidae.